UCAACAUGAAUAUUAAAAUCACCACAAAGAAGAAUUCUAUCAUAAUUUAACACAAGACUGGAUAAAAACUCAGGGAGUUCCAACAAGAAGGAGCCAGCUGGUUUAGGGGGGCGAUAAAUAAUAGCAAAUAUGACUGGCAGGGGGCCACCAAGUUUAAACAUGAGCACUUCAAAGGAGGAAAAGUCAUUGCAAGCUAUGAGGUUACACUUUUAAUGCUUCCUAUAGACAGUAACAAGGCCACCACCAUGACCACAAUCCCUAGGGCGACUAAAGCAGUCAUAAUCAGGAGGGCACAAUUCAGCCAGCUGACUGUGAUCACCAGGACGUAACCAGGAUUCAGUUAAGAACAUAAAAUCUAAAUCAGUAGAAGAGAUUAAAUCAUUUAAAAUAAACGUUUUGUUAGAGAGGGAUCUUACAUUGAGAAGAGUCAUCUUAAAAAGUCUGUGCUGGGUCAGAGCUGAAGUUGAGUUAAUCCUUAACUAUCCCAUUUGCUUGUUUUCACCUUUUGUUUUUCUUGUCUUUUAAAUACAAUUUGUGUGUGUUUUCUGUUUUCUUCUUUCUCAUUUUGAAUGUAUUCCUAUUUUUAAUGUAUUUCUAUGCCCCUGUAAAGCACUUUGAAUUGCCUUGUGUCUGAAUGAAUGCUAUAUAAAUAAACUUGCCUUGCCUUACAUGCUAACACGAUUGCUAAUGCUAAAGUUAAAGUUUGGCACUGAUACCUGAACACUGGGGAAAUAGUACAACGAUGGUGUAGUAGCAAGGAGCAACAAUCCAGCUGGCAAUAUGGAAUUAAAAAUAGAACUGUAUGUCCCUUGGCUGUGUGUAAGAGCUGUGUGCAACCUACUUAUUAGAAGGCAUGGGGUAACCCCAUGACAGGAGGCUUUGGUAUUAAAAUAUAUACUGGUGUGUUUGUAACAAGGUUGCUGUCAAGCAGUCCAAAAAGUGAAGUGGGAAAAGUCCACGGUGACCAAACACAAGAUCCAAAAUACUUAAAUCCAAAACUGGGAAAAUCAAGGUUGAUUAACAAAUUCAACCAUUCAAAGUUAACAACAUAAAAAAUGUAGGACUAAAAAGUAUAAAAUAGGUGAUAAGAGUUGUUCCAACAAGCAGUUACGUUUGAGCGUUGCAUGGUGAUGGCGUCACACAACAUAGUCAGAGUUGCUUCAGGACCUGCAGACGUAUAUAACCAAACUGUAUAUAACAAAAAAACUUGUGGCCAAACUAAACAGAAUUUUGAAAAAAUGAUUGAAAAAUCUAAUCAACAACCUUGCACUACGACUUCAGCAGCCCGAUAUUCCCUUCAAAAUUAACUCCACUUGGUUCAGAUACCUAGAGAUCAAUAUAACACAAACCUUGUCCUCUCUUUUUUCCGCCAACUUUUCCCCUUUGAUUACACAGGUUAGAGCCUGCCAUUGUCACGGAUCGGAAGGAUUAACGCUGUGAAACUGAACAUCCUACCCAAAUUCCUUUUUUACUUUCUCUCGCUGUUCUUACCCAAAAAAUUCUAAACUAUUGAUGAGGUUAUAUCAACCUUUUUAUGGAACAAACAAUCUCCCAGGAUUCGUAAAUCACUACUACAAAAAUGUAAUUUUAAUGGGGGUCUCGCGCUACCUAAUCUUAAAUUGCAAUAUUGGUCAGCACACAUUCAGAAAAUAACUUAUUGGCUUAGAUCUUCAGAUACUCCAUGGUGUAGACUAGAGGCACAGUCUUGCAAUUCAUCCUCUCAUAAAGCUCUACUUAGUUCCUUUCUAACCCUCAACCCCUCUGGCUUUACAGAUAAUCCGGUAGUGAGAUCCACCUUUUGGAUCUGGUAUAAAUUCAGGGGCCACUUCAAAUUCUUGUCAGCUUCCUCUAGUACACCUCUAAUGAAGAACCAUUUAUGCCCCACAUCACUUACAGAUGCUAUUUUUCUGCAAUGGCACAACAAAGCCAUAAGGUGUUUUCAAGAUCUAUUCAAAGAAGAGGACUUCCGCAGUUUUGCAGUUUUCCACUGAAUAUGGGCUGCCAACAUCCCACGUAUUCCCAUUCAGGUCCGACAUUGUGCAGUUUCCCUCUUUCCAAACUACCCCUCUAUGCCCCCUAAACAACCCUGGGAAGAUCUUCUUGAGCUUAAUCAUAAACAGACGUCUACAGUAAGCUCUUAUCACUUGAUGAGUGUUCCAUUACCAAAACAAGGGCGACAUGGGAGCAGGUGCUGGGCAGAAAAUUCACAGAGGAAGGGUGGAAAGAGGCUCUCAAAACUCUCUCUGUGCCCGACUUGGACUCAUACAGUUCAAAGUCCUGCACAGGGUUCUCUAAAGUUCUCUAAAGCCCGGUUAUCUAAAAUAUUUCCAGAAGUAGAGGACAGGUGUGACAGAUGUCGUACAUCUUCAUGCAACUUAAGUCAUGUUCUGUUCAUGCCCAAAGUUAUACCGUUUUUGGCAGGGCUAUUUUGGGACUGUCUAAAAUAUUUAGGAUUAAUAUUAAAAACUGGAAAAGAUCAGGUAUGAACUGACAGGAAAUGGCGAUCCUUUAUAACAUACUUCAACUCACUGAAGGUCUUACCGCCAGACUAAACUUCUAUCUUCUUCUUCUUCCUUUUCUUUCCUCCCUCUUUCUUUUUUCAUCAUUCUUUUUUUUGUGCUUGUUUCUUUGUUUCAUUAUUGCUCCUUCAACAGUUUGUUAAUAUGUGCAAGGGACACAUACAGCUUUAAGCAAUUUUCCACUUCUGGUGAGGGUGGGUGAAGGGGUGAUGGGGCUGUGGGGGAACUGUAAUAAACAAAUGAGGGGGAGUAUCGGAAUUACAUUUUUCCUGUAAAAUGUUGAACUGACUCAAAUCUGCACUCAUUAAUAAAGAAAUUAAUAUAAAAAAAUGAAUGGGUACAUUUACUUUUGAUACUUAAAAUAAAUUUUGCUGAAAAUACUUACAUAUUUUUAUUUUGGAGUAUUUUCACAGUGCUCAUUGUGCACAUUGCUACUUUUACCUAAGUAAAAGGAUCUGAAUACUUAUUCCACCACUGGACGUACAUUUACAACCUCUGGUUCCUUUAUAAUUACGUGCACCAUUGAAACUAAAGAAAUGUCUUAGCUAGUAAAGACUUAAGUAAUGUGUAAAUCGGUUGCUAGGAAACUCUAUAGCGCUAUCCAAUCAAGAGCAAUCGAGUAUAUAAACAGGAAGUUCCUGCAGCAUCACUAGCUAGCAUAACUUCCAAAAAUUUGUUUUAGAGGUUCAAAAGACUUUUGUAAAUGUAUGUAUUUGAUAUAUUUGUGUCUGCAUACAUGGAGAAAUAGGUGUUUCAGAGUUAGUAGUAUGUAGUUUAUAACUAGCGGGUAAUAUAUGAUUAUGCUAACCUAACUGAUGUUAUUUAGGCCUACUCGUUUAGUCAAAUGUUACUAGCAUAACAUUUAGUCAUUUGAGGUAUGUUGUGCUAUUUUAGUGAAAUGUGAUUUAACAUCUUCAAUAUUUACACCAUUAUUAAACAACAUUUAUCAAGUUUCAGGUCAGAUAUAUGUUUUCAUUUAGUGAUACAUCAGCCUCCACCUAGUGCACACUUACAUUUGAACUAGGCUAGCGGCAGUUUGAACAGCUGGUGCAACCGGCUCCAGGGGAACUUCAAGACUGGUCAGUGUGGCCCAUGGCCAGGUUAACCGCUGUAGUAUAUACUCAUAGGGACACAGAAACUAACUAGUACCUGGCUUUAGGUUUGGUGUGUGUCAAUUAGUUGGUGGUCAUUUCAUCAGUGGUGGAAGGAGUACUCAUAUCCUUUACAUAAUAGCAACACCAUCAUUUGAAAAUACUCCACUACAAGUAGAAGUCCUGCAUUCAAAAUGUUACCUAAGUUCAAGUACAGACGUAUUAUUGGCAAAAUAUACUUCAAAUGUAUUAGAAAUACUCUACUAUGCAGAAUGGCCCUUUUCAGGAUGGAUAAACAUGUAACAGUAUUUUAUAGUUGGUCAAUGUGGACCAAAAACAAGUGCUGUAUACUACUGGGUAGUGUAAUAAUGAAUCAUAUUUAAUGAGCUGAUCAUGUUUUGUAUGUAAAAUCUUUACUGCAAACUAGUUUUUCUCCAUUGUUUUGAUGCAGUAUUAGUAUUAAAUGUGUUUCCAUUUGCAAAAGCACACUCCAAAAAAAGAAAGAAAUGGAUUUUCCCACCUUUCAUUCCCACAACCCUACAUCACAGCUGCUUUUCCUUCUCUCUUUGCUUAAAUUUUUUAGGAACCACUAUGUAACUGUAUACUGUCUCUGUAUACAUUUCAAAUUUCUAUUUUUCUUUCUUGCUGUUUUCUGCCAAAUGUUGUAUUUUAUAAAGUUUUUGCGUUUAAAAAUAGGUUUGUCACUUACAGUGCAUCCGGAAGUAUUCACAGCGCUUCGCUUUUUCCACAUUUUGUUAUGUUACAGCCUUAUUCCAAAAUGGAUUAAAUUCAUUAUUUUCUAUAACUGCCGUACAUAUUUCUUUCAAUUAAUAUGUUCUAUAAUUUCCAUACAUAUUAUUUCUGUCGUUUUAACAUGUUUUUUGUUAUGUUUGUUUAAAUUAAUUCAUGCAUAUUGAGUGCUUAUGUUAAGUAGGAACUAAAGUACAUAUGCGUUACACACGGACAUUUUUGAAAGAUGCAACAGGAAAAUCACGGACCUUUGGUGAGAAGUUAAUAUCUCUGCAUGUGAAUUUAAGUUGUAAAGAAGUUGCAAAGAAGAAAUCGGGGUAUUUCAAGAACUCAUUCCCUCUUGGUUAUAUGCAGCCAGCGAGUUUGACGGUGGAUUUCAUUGACGGUGAACGUGAUAGCGGAGAAAAGAAUGAGAAAGGCAAUAAAUCCAUCAGUAUCCAGAA
This is a long non-coding RNA of Siniperca chuatsi (mandarin fish), 4803 nucleotides long. RefSeq lists it as uncharacterized. The record is from RefSeq and is a predicted model, not a curated record. NCBI's taxonomy places the organism in Eukaryota, Metazoa, Chordata, Actinopteri, Centrarchiformes, Sinipercidae. The transcript has 2 exons.